RNAcentral lists this ribosomal RNA (561 nucleotides) under Triticum aestivum (bread wheat). RNAcentral describes it as "partial small subunit ribosomal RNA". The record is from RNAcentral. Lineage: Eukaryota; Viridiplantae; Streptophyta; Magnoliopsida; Poales; Poaceae.
AUGGAUAGAAAUUCAACUUAUGUGCUAAAAAUCAAUUUGCUUGGCAACCCAAAAAAGGCUAGAAAGGAUAUCAAAUGCUUCUGUUUUGAUAAGGUUAUUGAUUCCGACUUAAAAAAUUAUAAGGACUUGGUUGAAUCAAUCAUAGAGCAGUACUCGCCUCGUUAUUUGGAAGUUGCACAUGUUCAGUACUAUGAUGAUUUUCUUAAAAUCUACCCUGAAGUAACAUCUGACCAAGAAUUAGUGUUGAUGUCUGAGAAACACUCUAAGACAAAGGUUGUGCACAUGUUUGUUGCAUAUUGUGAUCCAUCGGAACCAUAUGAGCCUAUCACAGAGUGGCAUAGUGAUGUGCAUAGCCAACCUAACAACAUAGAACAAGAUGAUGAUGAUUAUCUUCGCAACCCAGUACCUGAGAAGGAGCAUGUUGGUGUUGAUGAGGAAAAUAUUUAUUUAGAGGAUGAACCUGUGCCACAUGACAGCCCUGCAAUGGGCACACGAAGCAAAAAAAUUAAUCCUGCCAGCCCUGCAAUGAGCACACGAAGCAAAAGGAGACUUAGCUUGUGA